Molecule: ribosomal RNA, 938 nt
Filed under: Amanita sp. 'cruentilemurum'
Lineage: Eukaryota; Fungi; Basidiomycota; Agaricomycetes; Agaricales; Amanitaceae
Description: partial large subunit ribosomal RNA
Rfam family: Eukaryotic large subunit ribosomal RNA
Source: RNAcentral
AGCAUAUCAAUAAGCGGAGGAAAAGAAACUAACAAGGAUUCCCUUAGUAACUGCGAGUGAAGAGGGAAAAGCUCAAAUUUAAAAUCUGGCAGUGUUUCACUGUCCGAGUUGUAACCUAGAGAAGUGUAACCUGCGCUGGACCGUGUAUAAGUCUCCUGGAAUGGAGCGUCACAGAGGGUGAGAAUCCCGUCUUUGACAUGGACCACCAGUGCAUUGUGGUUGUGCUCUCAACGAGUCGAGUUGUUUGGGAAUGCAGCUCUAAAUGGGUGGUAAAUUCCAUCUAAAGCUAAAUAUUGGCGAGAGACCGAUAGCGAACAAGUACCGUGAGGGAAAGAUGAAAAGAACUUUGGAAAGAGAGUUAAACAGUAUGUGAAAUUGUUGAAAGGGAAACGUUUGAAGUCAGUCGCGUUGGUUGGGGAUCAGCCUGACAUUGUUGGGUUUACUUCCUGGUCGACGGGCCAACAUCAGUUUUGACUGCCAGAAAAAGGCCAAAGGAAUGUGGCACCUUUGGGUGUGUUAUAGCCUUUGGUCGUAUGUGGUGGUUGGGACUGAGGAAAGCAGCGUGCCGAAAGGCCGGGUUUCGACCACGUUCACGCUGAGGAUGUUGGCAUAAUGGCUUUAAGCGACCCGUCUUGAAACACGGACCAAGGAGUCUAACAUGCAUGCGAGUGUUUGGGUGGAAAACCCUUACGCGUAAUGAAAGUGAAAGUUGAGAUCCCUGUCGCGGGGAGCAUCGACGCCCGGACCAGAACUUUUGGGACGGAUCUGCGGUAGAGCACGUAUGUUGGGACCCGAAAGAUGGUGAACUAUGCCUGAAUAGGGUGAAGCCAGAGGAAACUCUGGUGGAGGCUCGUAGCGAUUCUGACGUGCAAAUCGAUCGUCAAAUUUGGGUAUAGGGGCGAAAGACUAAUCGAACCAUCUAGUAGCUGGUUCCUGCC